UGGGGAAUAUUGCACAAUGGGCGCAAGCCUGAUGCAGCCAUGCCGCGUGUAUGAAGAAGGCCUUCGGGUUGUAAAGUACUUUCAGCGGGGAGGAAGGUGUUGAGGCUAAUAACCUCAGCAAUUGACGUUACCCGCAGAAGAAGCACCGGCUAACUCCGUGCCAGCAGCCGCGGUAAUACGGAGGGUGCAAGCGUUAAUCGGAAUUACUGGGCGUAAAGCGCACGCAGGCGGUCUGUCAAGUCGGAUGUGAAAUCCCCGGGCUCAACCUGGGAACUGCAUUCGAAACUGGCAGGCUAGAGUCUUGUAGAGGGGGGUAGAAUUCCAGGUGUAGCGGUGAAAUGCGUAGAGAUCUGGAGGAAUACCGGUGGCGAAGGCGACCACCUGGACUAAUACUGACACUGAGGUGCGAAAGCGUGGGGAGCAAACA
This 427-nucleotide ribosomal RNA is filed under the name uncultured bacterium. RNAcentral describes it as "partial 16S ribosomal RNA". It matches the Rfam family "Bacterial small subunit ribosomal RNA", at positions 355 to 774 of the family's 1533-position model. The record is from RNAcentral.